Molecule: non-coding RNA, 442 nt
Organism: Drosophila virilis
Lineage: Eukaryota; Metazoa; Arthropoda; Insecta; Diptera; Drosophilidae
Source: RefSeq, a predicted model, not a curated record
AACUUCAUUUAUUAAAUUAACACUAAAGGAAAACUCCCAUAAUGUGUCGUUUGAUUGACGAUCUAAUUGAAUGCGGGAAAAUCAGCAGUCGUGAUAUGUGGCCUGAACAGCUGUAUAGUUCCAGCACAAUAAAUAACCAUAAUAACUACUUGGCUUAUAACGAGCAUAGCACGCCCACACAUGGCUGCAUUAAAAUGCCAUCUCUUGAGAUUAAUGCGAAAAGGUCAUGCGAACAUUUAACGAGGGCCACUCACUGUGGAUUGGACAUUGACCUUCGCUUUUUAUAUACCCUGCACGUGCGACAUGGCGUCGAUUGGGUAUAGGUAUAGCUAAGCGUUAACAGAAGGUAGCCCAGCAUCCAGUACUGCAUAUUUAUCCAGCUGGUAUUUUGAGACAUUUGAAAAAUUAAAUUGAGCUUCUUACAAAGCUUCCUAGAAACAAC